Molecule: ribosomal RNA, 671 nt
Filed under: fungal endophyte
Lineage: Eukaryota; Fungi
Description: eukaryotic LSU rRNA
Rfam family: Eukaryotic large subunit ribosomal RNA (bases 141-671)
Source: RNAcentral
UAGCUUGGUGUUGGGUGACUGUCCCGCCUCGCCGCGCGGACUCGCCUCAAAGUCAUUGGCAGCAGACUCGGUAGCUAAUUGCGCAGCACAUCGCGCCAGAGGCUCCGGGCCCGCUCUCCACGAGCACAGUCUCAUCAGUUUGACCUCGGAUCAGGUAGGGAUACCCGCUGAACUUAAGCAUAUCAAUAAGCGGAGGAAAAGAAACCAACAGGGAUUGCCCUAGUAACGGCGAGUGAAGCGGCAACAGCUCAAAUUUGAAAUCUGGCUCCUUCUGGGGUCCGAGUUGUAAUUUGUAGAGGGUGCUUUGGCGUCGGCCAUGGUCUAAGUUCCUUGGAACAGGGCGUCACAGAGGGUGAGAAUCCCGUACGUGGCCGCUGGCCUUCGCCAUGUAAAGCCCCUUCGACGAGUCGAGUUGUUUGGGAAUGCAGCUCUAAAUGGGAGGUAAAUUUCUUCUAAAGCUAAAUAUUGGCCAGAGACCGAUAGCGCACAAGUAGAGUGAUCGAAAGAUGAAAAGCACUUUGGAAAGAGAGUCAAAAAGCACGUGAAAUUGUUGAAAGGGAAGCGCUUGCAGCCAGACUUGCCCGUAGUUGCUCAUCCAGGCUUCGGCCCGGUGCACUCUUCUGCGGGCAGGCCAGCAUCAGUUCAGGCGGUCGGAUAAAGGUCCCGGGAAU